This 505-nucleotide ribosomal RNA is filed under the name uncultured bacterium. RNAcentral describes it as "partial 16S ribosomal RNA". It matches the Rfam family "Bacterial small subunit ribosomal RNA", at positions 29 to 523 of the family's 1533-position model. The record is from RNAcentral.
AGUGAACGCUGGCGGUAGGCCUAACACAUGCAAGUCGAACGGCAGCACAGGAGAGCUUGCUCUCUGGGUGGCGAGUGGCGGACGGGUGAGGAAUACAUCGGAAUCUACUUUUUCGUGGGGGAUAACGUAGGGAAACUACGCUAAUACCGCAUACGACCUACGGGUGAAAGCAGGGGACCUUCGGGCCUUGCGCGAUUGAAUGAGCCGAUGUCGAAUUAGCUAGUUGGCGGGGUAAAGGCCCACCAAGGCGACGAUCCGUAGCUGGUCUGAGAGGAUGAUCAGCCACACUGGAACUGAGACACGGUCCAGACUCCUACGGGAGGCAGCAGUGGGGAAUAUUGGACAAUGGGCGCAAGCCUGAUCCAGCCAUACCGCGUGGGUGAAGAAGGCCUUCGGGUUGUAAAGCCCUUUUGUUGGGAAAGAAAUCCAGCUGGCUAAUACCCGGUUGGGAUGACGGUACCCAAAGAAUAAGCACCGGCUAACUUCGUGCCAGCCGCCGCAGUAA